Molecule: long non-coding RNA, 987 nt
Filed under: Homo sapiens (human)
Lineage: Eukaryota; Metazoa; Chordata; Mammalia; Primates; Hominidae
Description: HSALNT0371503
Source: RNAcentral
UGGCCCGCCACGCCCCCAGCCUGGGCCUAUAAACACCCACGACCCUAGCAAGGCAGAGACAGAAGCUGCUGGAGGGCGAGAGGAACGCAUCAGUGGAAGAAGACAGAAGCGGCUGGUCACGGAGAGCAUGUCAGCAGAAGAACACACCUACAGACGCCGGCUCGCCCGCGGGCUCCCCGGCAGGCCAUCGACCGGUGGGACGAGGUGGAGUUUGUCCUGGGCAGUAGGAGGACAGCCCGGGCACCCAGCGGCCCAACUCCAGGGGAAAGCCAUCUCCCUUCUGGAGCUGCCCAACUCCGGGGGAAAACCAUCUCCUUUCUGACUCUCCUGUCGGUGGAGAGUUACUUCCACUCAAUACGAUUUUGCAGUCAUUCUCCAAGCCCACGUGUGAUCCGAUUCUUCCGGUACACCAAGGCAAGAACCCGGGAUACAGAAAGCCCUCUGGCCUUAUGACAAGGUAGAGGGUCUAACUGAGCUAUAGACCGUGAACUAAGAGCGCACCCUGGAACACACGCCCUCUGGGGCUUCAGCUGUAAACAUCCACCCUUAGACACUGCCAUGGGGUUGGAGCCCCACAACCUGCCCAUCUCUAUGCCCCACUAGAGGUAUGACCAACGGGGCACUGAAGAGGCGAGCACACCCCAUCGCACGCCCUGCAAGGGGGACGGGGGAACCUUUCCCAUUUCAACACCACCGCUGUGGCUGCAUGUGGCUGCCAUAAGAAAAAGAACCCAUUCUUUGGCACAGCUGAAGCAGGACUCUUCUCGUUGUUCUCCAGAGUCUGGCUGGCCUGGAACGUGCCAUGACUGUACAAUAUGAUAGGAGGGAGACUGUACCAGCUCCAAGCCAGCUUUUCUGAUACCUGCAGCUUCUGAUUCCUCUGGAGGAGAAGUCAGCUACUAGUAUUGCAGGUGCAGUUUUAAAAGCCCCAUGGAUAAACAGCUCAUGUAGGUCCAGGUCCAGGCUUUGAAUGCACUACAGUUCCCU